This 358-nucleotide RNase P RNA is filed under the name Amphritea atlantica. RNAcentral describes it as "Bacterial RNase P class A". It matches the Rfam family "Bacterial RNase P class A". Rfam says of the family: Ribonuclease P (RNase P) is a ubiquitous endoribonuclease, found in archaea, bacteria and eukarya as well as chloroplasts and mitochondria. Its best characterised activity is the generation of mature 5'-ends of tRNAs by cleaving the 5'-leader elements of precursor-tRNAs. The record is from RNAcentral. Lineage: Bacteria; Pseudomonadati; Pseudomonadota; Gammaproteobacteria; Oceanospirillales; Oceanospirillaceae.
AGAGUUCGCCAGACAAUCGCUGCUCCCGUAUGGGAGGGGAGGAAAGUCCGGGCUCCAUAGGGCAGGGUGCCAGGUAAUGCCUGGGGGGCGUAAGCCUACGGCUAGUGCAGCAGAGAGAAGACCGCCUACGUUUCCUGUUUACAGGAAGCCGGUAAGGGUGAAAGGGUGCGGUAAGAGCGCACCGCGUACGUGGUAACACGUUACGGCAAGGUAAACCCCACCUGGAGCAAGACCAAAUAGGAAUCCUUAAGGCAUGGCCCAUGCUGGAUUCGGGUAGGUCGCUUGAGACCUGUGGCGACGCAGGUCCUAGAUGAAUGAUUGUCCACGACAAAACCCGGCUUAUCGGCGAACUCUACAA